AAGUCUAACCUGCCCAAUGAGGAGUUUAAUGGCCGCAGUAUUUUGACUGUGCAAAGGUAGCAUAAUCAUUAGUUUCUUAAUUAGGAACUGGAAUGAAGGGUUGAACGAAAAAAAAUCUGUCUCUUUUUAAAUUAUUUAGAAUUUUAUUUUUAAGUUAAAAAGCUUAAAUUUUUUUAAAAGACGAGAAGACCCUAUAGAGUUUUAUACAUGUUUAAUUAAUAAUUUAAAUUGAAUAUUAAAAAUUUUGAUUUUUAUUGUAUUUGAUUGGGGUGAUUAAAAAAUUUAAUAAACUUUUUUUUUAUAAUUACAUUUAUUUAUGAAUUAUUGAUCCAUUAUUUAUGAUUAUAAGAUUAAAUUACCUUAGGGAUAACAGCGUAAUUUCUUUUUAGAGUUCUAAUCGAUAAAGAAGUUUGCGACCUCGAUGUUGGAUUAAAAUUAAUUUUUGGUGUAGAAGCUAAAAUAUUAGGUCUGUUCGACCUUUAAAAUUUUACAUGAUCUGAGUUUAAACCGGUGUAAGCCAGGUUGGUUUCUAUCUUUAAACAUUAAAUGGUAUUUUAGUACGAAAGGACCAAAUACCUGUAAUAUUUAU
This 589-nucleotide ribosomal RNA is filed under the name Atheta vaga. RNAcentral describes it as "partial 16S ribosomal RNA". It matches the Rfam family "Bacterial large subunit ribosomal RNA", at positions 1850 to 2712 of the family's 2925-position model. The record is from RNAcentral. Lineage: Eukaryota; Metazoa; Arthropoda; Insecta; Coleoptera; Staphylinidae.